GCUGGGUGUUGUGGCGGGUAUCUAUAGUCCCAGCUACUUGGGAGGCAGAGGCAGGAAAAUCGCUUGAGCCCAGGAGUUGGAGGUUGCUGUGAGCUGUGAUGCCAUGGCACUGUCCCAGGGCGACAGCUUGAGGCUCUGUCUCAAAAAAAAAAAAAAAAAUUGAAGUGAAAGAGUAAGCUAUUUCAUCAUCUUCAGACCCUUGGACCAUGUCAUCUAAAAAGGAAACCUUAUUAAGAGCAAGUCUUUUUUCUUUUUUUUUUUUGAGACGGAGCCUCAAGCUAUCCUCCUGGGUAGAGUGCCAUGGCAUCACAGCUCACAGCAACCUCCAACUCCUGGGCUCAAGCGAGUCUCCUGCCUCCG
This is a non-coding RNA of Otolemur garnettii (small-eared galago), 360 nucleotides long. Lineage: Eukaryota; Metazoa; Chordata; Mammalia; Primates; Galagidae. The record is from Rfam.